GUUGUGCGCUACGUGCUGAGAGCGCGAGGCUGCUAGCCGCAGCCCGGCGACGUCAAAGCCGAGUGCAGGGCUCGGCCGUCUUCCCCUGAGCCUCCUCUGCCUCCCGGGCUCUGCUCACCAGGGUCGGCACGGGUGCUCAUCAGCUUGGACCGCAGUGAUGGGCUCAGAGGGGUAGCAGCACCCAGCCUCUCUUCCUCCCCGCCGAGGCCGUCCCUGGUUCUUCCCUAGCUGCGCGGGGGCGAGGGCCGGUAAUUCAUUUCCAAUGCCGCCGCUGGCGGUUGCACGCGGAAGGGAAAGGCCGGCUACGUCCUCAGACACGCGAUUCCUGACCCACACCAGAGCUUGGUGUGGCUAUUAUCCAGCCUGGUUGACUGCACAUCUCUAGUUGAGUCAGGUUUCCCCAGCCCUCCAGCCACUGAAGUACAUCUCAUUUGCAGCUUUUGAAGCACUUGUAUCAGAGAUAAAGCAAGAUCCAAAGAAACUUUCUGCACAUCAAAUUUGUGAUGUAUAAAGAACAUGCCUCUCUUCCUGUAUCUGCUCCCUCCCACAUGCUUCUUCUUCCCUACUUGGCCCCUCUCAUUGUAAUACUCCCACCAGGUCAAAAGGAUUUCUUUGUAAAGAUAUUAAAAUGCAUGCUAAUUCAAUUAUCUGCUUCCCCCACUUUCUGGUUUAUAGAAACACUGCUAUAGUUUAUAUUAUCUGAUGUGGAGCUUAUUAAUGAAAAGCUUGAGUCUGGUCAUUCCAUAUAUAUAUGGUUUCCUCUCUUGAGUAUGUGGCAAAUAUAGAUUGAAUAACAAAAUAUUUUUAAAGGGUUAACUAUUGCUAGUAUCCCAAUCCUCUAUAAAUAUACUAGUAAGGUAGUAAUACCAGGAACUAACUAAGGCAGACUAAGAAUUAAAGGCAUUAUCUUGGAAAUCCAGGAGCAGAUUCAAAGGAAUUUAAGGCUUGGAAGAGAGUGCAGUCCAAGGAAAUCAGUGAAAAUUGGUACCUUCAAGGAGGGGGAAGACAUCUAGGGAAGGAAAAGUAGUGAAGAUAAUAAGAUUGUACAACAUGUCACCUUAUGCUGCUUAACAAGCAAGAAGGCAAGAAAACAAAGGGAGGAAAAGAUGUGUCAGGGGGCAAGAAGGGUGAACUGGGCUGGAUGGUAUUCCUCAUCAGUUCUGUCAGGGAAUCUCAGAGUUUGAUCUUAUUUGGAAAUAAAUCUGUAGCAGAUAAAGGUUAGUUAUGAUGAGAUCAUACUUGGGUAGGGUAGCUUUCUUCUGGAAUGACAUGUCUUUAAGUGAAGAGGAGAGAGAGGAGUAGGUUAGCAGAAACAUAUUUUGCUUAACAUGCACAAGGCUCUAGUUCAAUGAUCAGCAAGGAAAAGACAAGAGAACUGAAAGACCAAAAAAAAAAAAAAUGAAUAGACAUAGAAAAGAAAACCACUCAAUAACAGAGGUAGAGACAGAAGAGAGGAGUCUUCAAGUCAAAGAUCAUAAAGAACUUCCAGCAACUCCAGAGAGAAAGCAAUUCCAACUACAAGAAAACAAUCCAGGCGCUGCAUUAAGCCACUUAGACCGAGGUCAUAUGUUGCAAUAUCCCCAGCAAGCCCAGGUAGAAACUUACUCAUACCCAAAAUUGAAAAAGUAACUGGUCUGCUGGCAGAGGAUUCUAGCUGGAGCCUCUCUCCAACAUCUUUCCUUCAGGGCAGUUUUCAUAUAAGUCACUAUAGAUCUCCCUUUUAUACUCUGAGCAAAUCAAAUGGUCUCUGGAGAACAGGACUUUACACAACUGUAAGACAUGCUUUGAGU
Long non-coding RNA from Mus pahari (shrew mouse), 1790 nucleotides. RefSeq lists it as uncharacterized. The record is from RefSeq and is a predicted model, not a curated record. NCBI's taxonomy places the organism in Eukaryota, Metazoa, Chordata, Mammalia, Rodentia, Muridae. The transcript has 3 exons.